UCCCCGGUAGCUCAGCGGUGGAGCAUCCGGCUGUUAACCGGAGGGUCGCUGGUUCGAAUCCGGCCCGGGGAGCCU
This 75-nucleotide transfer RNA is filed under the name Candidatus Desantisiibacteriota bacterium. Its description in RNAcentral is "Candidatus Desantisbacteria bacterium (hot springs metagenome) tRNA-Asn". It matches the Rfam family "tRNA". From Rfam's summary of the family: Transfer RNA (tRNA) molecules are approximately 80 nucleotides in length. Their secondary structure includes four short double-helical elements and three loops (D, anti-codon, and T loops). Further hydrogen bonds mediate the characteristic L-shaped molecular structure. tRNAs have two regions of fundamental functional importance: the anti-codon, which is responsible for specific mRNA codon recognition, and the 3' end, to which the tRNAs corresponding amino acid is attached (by aminoacyl-tRNA synthetases). tRNAs cope with the degeneracy of the genetic code in two manners: having more than one tRNA (with a specific anti-codon) for a particular amino acid; and 'wobble' base-pairing, i.e. permitting non-standard base-pairing at the 3rd anti-codon position. Lineage: Bacteria; Candidatus Desantisiibacteriota. The record is from RNAcentral.